CCUUCCCUGAAGAAACAUGGCCUCCCUGGUUUCUUUAGUUCCUUUCUCACAGAAUUCAAAACAAAAAUGUUACUUAUAAAUAUAGUUAGAAUGAUGAAAGUAGAGGAACAGUAUCUGCUUACCUAAAACCUUGUUGCAGGAGGUCAUCUAGAGGACAUGAAAGCAGGUUCACCUGUGAGCUGGAUCGACCAAUCUUGGGACCCUGGCUACUGGACGCUCCUUACCUGCCUCCCGCGUCCUGGGAAUGUAAGCUCCUCCCACCAUUCCCACAGGGGAGCCUCUUCAAGGAGCAGCCUUGAGAGAGCACGUGUUAUUGAGACCAUCUGGACUACAUUCGUGACUGAACCCCGUCUAGACCUCUAUGUAAACUAUAAGAUUCUGGCGUGCAAUGCGGAGAUCCACUCAUCUUGCGGUUGUUGAAGACAGGCUUGGAGGCAUUGAAACAGAAAUGGAACCAAAUCCUGUCCUUGAGUAUCUUCCAAGAUAUACAGAAAACUUCUUAUGGCUUUUGCUUGAAAGACCCAGAUGCUACAAGGAAAACCAAGUCUUUGCCCUGAAUUAUCAAGGAAGACUCCGAGGAACUUCCUUAGCUACCCAGGCCCUGAAUUGCCAUAAUGGGUCUUCUGAGUGUGGGUUUUUGAAAGACCAAAUGAUAAAUGAAGCUUUGGCUCAGAUUCUGCUCUCAGCAAGACCAAUGAG
RNAcentral lists this long non-coding RNA (699 nucleotides) under Equus caballus (horse). RNAcentral's name for it is "lncRNA (ENSECAG00000044570.1)". Lineage: Eukaryota; Metazoa; Chordata; Mammalia; Perissodactyla; Equidae. The record is from RNAcentral.